Molecule: unclassified non-coding RNA, 354 nt
Filed under: Hevea brasiliensis (rubber tree)
Lineage: Eukaryota; Viridiplantae; Streptophyta; Magnoliopsida; Malpighiales; Euphorbiaceae
Source: RNAcentral
AAAUAGAAAAUCCUGCCCAAUCUGUGUAAUCAUAUAUAUUAUUGCUAUCUACAUAAAAUUUCCAGUUUACUUAAUUCCCUCAGACUGUUGAUGUUUCAUAAGGAGAAUUAUUUGUUAGUUUUGAUACAAAUGCAUGAGCUUCAGGCUUGUUAUCAACUAUCAAGUUUCCAGCUGAAAAUAUGGUAAGCUUGUUAUUUAAACAAGACAUCAUUUCAAAGAGCUGGCCUGAAGCAUUGGUUGAGUAGCUUAACACCCUUAAACACAUAGUUCAAUCCUAAGGAUUUUCUUUUUGUUGGUCCUUUGUUGGAAAUAAAUUUUACUGAAAAUAAGGAAAGGUCAAUCACAAGGUCUCAA